This 460-nucleotide ribosomal RNA is filed under the name uncultured bacterium. RNAcentral's name for it is "partial 16S ribosomal RNA". It matches the Rfam family "Bacterial small subunit ribosomal RNA", at positions 338 to 795 of the family's 1533-position model. The record is from RNAcentral.
CCUACGAGUGGCAGCAGUGAGGAAUAUUGGUCAAUGGGCGAGAGCCUGAACCAGCCAAGUAGCGUGAAGGAUGACUGCCCUAUGGGUUGUAAACUUCUUUUAUAUGGGAAUAAAGUGCAGUAUGUAUACUGCUUUGCAUGUACCUUAUGCAUAAGGAUCGGCUAACGCCGUUCCAGCAGCCGCGGUAAUACGGAGGAUCCGAGCGUUAUCCGGAUUUAUUGGGUUUACAGGGAGGGUAGGCGGUGUGUUAAUUCAGUUGUGAAAGUUUGCGGCUCAACCGUAAAAUUGCAGUUGAUACUGGCAUCCUGGAGUACAGUAGAGGUAGGCGGAAGUCGUGGUGUAGCGGUGAAAUGCUUAGAUAUCACGAAGAACUCCGAUUGCGAAGGCAGCCUGCUGGACUGUAACUGACGCUGAUGCUCGACAGUGUGGGUAUCAAACAGGAUUAGAUACCCGGGUAGUG